RNAcentral lists this transfer RNA (72 nucleotides) under bacterium. Its description in RNAcentral is "tRNA-Gly". It matches the Rfam family "tRNA". Rfam says of the family: Transfer RNA (tRNA) molecules are approximately 80 nucleotides in length. Their secondary structure includes four short double-helical elements and three loops (D, anti-codon, and T loops). The record is from RNAcentral.
GCGGUGGUAGUUCAACGGUAGAACACCACCUUCCCAAGGUGGAGGUUGCGGGUUCAAAUCCCGUCCACCGCU